Long non-coding RNA from Cyprinus carpio carpio, 857 nucleotides. NCBI's taxonomy places the organism in Eukaryota, Metazoa, Chordata, Actinopteri, Cypriniformes, Cyprinidae. The record is from Ensembl.
ACGUUUUCGUAACAUUUUUAAAAUGGUAGGAUGGAAUGUUUCUGUAAUGUUCGCAGAAACCCCACAAAAAAUGUUCUCAAUACAUUAAAAAAACUUGCCGUUCUCAACGUGUACAAAACAUUCCGAAAUAACGUUUUCAUAACUUAAGGGAAAUGUUAGUAAAACGUUCUGACAACUCAUUUUUGUUAGCUGGGUCUACGCAUCAACAUCUUGUUUUUCACAACUGAGAGACUCUUAUAGAUGGGUCCUAUAAACCUCUCCCACCAUCAACUGCUGUGCAAGACCUCAGUGGCCAAAAUGUCAUAUAUGAGCAAGUGUGUUUGCUGCCCAUUACACAACCUGACAAAAUUUGUGAUUAUGACCCUCAAAACCUGGCUGUUGUAGCUGGAUGAUCUGUUGUACUCAUCUGUAUAAAUGGUCGCUAUGACGUCUUCCUGCCAGUGAUGAAUUGCAGACCAUGUCUUGCAUCAUGGACAGCUGAGGUGGUGGACAUGUUGUUUAGUGGUUACUGGCCAGGCACUGUCAAGUUUCAAACCAUAUACCAGGUAGACCUCUUUGCAUCGCUUGAGAUCACUGCACCUGGGCUUUCAAGACAAGCAUUUGUGAAAAUGUUACAACAGCGCUCACAACAAUUUGGAAGGGGCAGAGGAACAACCAUUUUUUGAUGGAGUUUUUCUGGCUAAUGACAAAGAUGUAGCAACAUUUGUUGAUUGUGUUCGUGAGAAGACCAUUCCAGUACAUGGAAAAGGCAUCUGUGGAACAUGAGCAUGGGCUGCAGCCAGGGAGACCUCUAAAAAGACAAACACUAAAUGUGAUGAAGAGGGCCUAGAGGUGGCAGUUUGCAGGCACAGCAUAUU